Molecule: long non-coding RNA, 729 nt
Organism: Nasonia vitripennis (jewel wasp)
Lineage: Eukaryota; Metazoa; Arthropoda; Insecta; Hymenoptera; Pteromalidae
Exons: 3
Source: RefSeq, a predicted model, not a curated record
AGUAUUCGUAUACCAGGGAUCAUUGGCCUUAUUGAUUGUUACAAUAUUUUGUUACUUAUUACAGAUUGUAGAUGCCAACUAUAAUAUUUUAAAUAUACGGACUUGCCCCGGUAGCAACAAUGAUAGAUAUGUGUGGCAAUUUUCUGAGGCCAGAGAAUACAUGGAAAAUUUACGAGCUGAAGGUGAAGGUGAAAGGAAUUGUUACUUGCUAGGGGAUAGUGGUUACACAGUUUCUCCUGUGUUGUUGACUCCUAUAUUAGAUGCUCAACCAGGAACACCAGAAGUUGCUUAUACAACAGAGCAUGUAAGGACACGCUGUAGAGUAGAGUAGACCAUAGGAAUAUUCACAAAUGUUUGGAGAGUACUGAAAAGGGCUAGAAAGCUGCAUUACACUCCAAAUAAAUUAGCUAGAAUAACAAAUGCCUGCGCAAUUUUGCAUAAUUAUCGACGAAGACAUGGAAUUCAUGAUAACAUACCACCAAUACGACAACGUAAUGUUCGUUUACUUCAACGUCCAAGAGAUCACCCUGCUGGGAUUGCAGAGAGGCAAAGAAUAAUACAAGCUUAUUAUCGUUGAUAAACUGCAGAGGAAAAUGUUUUUCCUCUGCUUCAACUAUCCCUCGGUAGUUAUAUUUUAAUAACUUCAAUAUCUGUAAUUUAUUAUAGAUUCUAAGAGCUAUGGAUAGCUUCUAUAUUGCCUUAAUUUAUAUCUUAAAAAAAUGAUAAAAC